AGAGUUUGAUCAUGGCUCAGGACGAACGCUGGCGGCGUGCCUAAUACAUGCAAGUCGAGCGAAUCACUUCGGUGGUUAGCGGCGGACGGGUGAGUAACACGUGGGCAACCUGCCUGUAAGACUGGGAUAACACCGGGAAACCGGUGCUAAUACCGGAUAAUCCUUUUCCUCUCAUGAGGGAAAGCUGAAAGUCGGUUUAGGCUGACACUUACAGAUGGGCCCGCGGCGCAUUAGCUAGUUGGUGAGGUAACGGCUCACCAAGGCGACGAUGCGUAGCCGACCUGAGAGGGUGAUCGGCCACACUGGGACUGAGACACGGCCCAGACUCCUACGGGAGGCAGCAGUAGGGAAUCUUCCACAAUGGACGAAAGUCUGAUGGAGCAACGCCGCGUGAGCGAUGAAGACCUUCGGGUCGUAAAGCUCUGUUGUUAGGGAAGAACAAGUACCGGAGUAACUGCCGGUACCUUGACGGUACCUAACCAGAAAGCCACGGCUAACUACGUGCCAGCAGCCGCGGUAAUACGUAGGUGGCAAGCGUUGUCCGGAAUUAUUGGGCGUAAAGCGCGCGCAGGCGGUCCCUUAAGUCUGAUGUGAAAGCCCACGGCUCAACCGUGGAGGGUCAUUGGAAACUGGGGGGCUUGAGUGCAGAAGAGGAAAGCGGAAUUCCACGUGUAGCGGUGAAAUGCGUAGAGAUGUGGAGGAACACCAGUGGCGAAGGCGGCUUUCUGGUCUGUAACUGACGCUGAGGCGCGAAAGCGUGGGGAGCAAACAGGAUUAGAUACCCUGGUAGUCCACGCCGUAAACGAUGAGUGCUAAGUGUUAGGGGGUUUCCGCCCCUUAGUGCUGCAGCUAACGCAUUAAGCACUCCGCCUGGGGAGUACGGCCGCAAGGCUGAAACUCAAAGGGAAUUUG
This 912-nucleotide ribosomal RNA is filed under the name uncultured bacterium. RNAcentral describes it as "bacterial SSU rRNA". It matches the Rfam family "Bacterial small subunit ribosomal RNA", at positions 8 to 913 of the family's 1533-position model. The record is from RNAcentral.